RNAcentral lists this long non-coding RNA (274 nucleotides) under Populus trichocarpa (black cottonwood). Its description in RNAcentral is "long non-coding RNA (PTRI_LNC000755)". Lineage: Eukaryota; Viridiplantae; Streptophyta; Magnoliopsida; Malpighiales; Salicaceae. The record is from RNAcentral.
UCUUUUCUUUCUAGAUAUUAUACUAACCCUCAGCGAUUUUAGCAUCUAUGUAUUUCGUCUGGAUCCUGCUGUGUGCAUGUAUCUUGGUGAUUUCCUUCUAGGAGAGGAAGCAGAUCAAAGAUAUACUGGGAAAUUAAUUAUAUUAUGUUUCUGUUUGGGAGCUGAACAAUGUCAUCUAGUAAUGAAUUUCUUUUUAUAAUUGCACUAUGUUGUUGUCGGGAUAUGGGUAGGCCUUCUACCUUCCCAAAUGCAUCUGUCUCCAAUUAGUUUCAUC